AAAAAUUGACACAAAAUAUUUCCUAUUUCCCAAACUGAACCAGUUUAGUACUGGUCCAGCGAGACCCACUUGGUUUUCCAGUCGUCUGAGUAGUACGUACCUAAAUUUAAUCACCCAGCGUGUUUUCUGCAACACCAAUACAAUCUUUUUCAAACAGCAUUUACAAUGACUUGUAUUAAGAAAUAUUCAGAAAUGCUAUUUUAAGAGCUGUCUUUUCAUAUACGUUCUCCUUCUUUAAAAAAAAUCACCACAAGGAUAUUUUAAAAUGUUAAAAAACACCAAAAAAACAACAUUUUCAUCACACUUGGUCUUUAAGAACUUUUGUUGGGGCAUUUUAAGGAGUUCAGCCUCCCUUUACCCAAAACAAAUGGGCACUGAGAAGAAGAGAGAAAAUGUUUUUUUUUAUAAUAUAAUAAUAAUAAUGUUACCAUUUGUACAAAAUAUUGACUAGCUACAUUUGAAUAUAUGCUACCUUUCUUAAAGUUUUAAAAUAAAUAAACUGAAAGUGAAUAUGAUUCUAAAUUUGUGCACCCCUUGAAGGCAUGCUGGCCUUGGACUCCAAGAGGACCUGGUGGCAGAAAAGAUGGAUGAAAAUUAUUAGCUGGAAACCGAAAUUGCCAAACAUCAUUAGACAACGCAAGAUUUUAGUGCUGGAACCACUUUUGUUACAACUUUUUUAGUGUUCAGGAUUAGCUUGAAAUGUGUCAAAAGAGGGAAAACAUCAAACUCUUCUUUACUUUAAUUGAUAACCACUAUUUUUAAUGUACUGAGUGUGACUGGUUUGUACUAAACAAAUCUUCCAAGUAAUUACACAGUAUUUUUCUUUUACUUUCAGUUUAAUGUAUUAAUUGAUAUCUGAAAUGGGUUUAUAUAACUGUUUUGUAAUUUUAUCAUGUAUUCAAUCAUAUUUGAAUGCUUACAACAAUCAAAUCAAAUCAAUCAGGAUGAUCUUGUUUAUCUUCAUUGUUUUUCAUGGUUCUUUAUAAAUUAUGACUAUAAUGUUAAACGUUUUCAGAACCAAAAGUGAGUCCAAGAUUUCAGUGGGUGGAGAACAGGUCCGACCAGAAGAUGAGGACCACGCGUCAGAUCUGAAUCUCGUGAUCAGAAAUCACCUAAAGUGAUGAAGAGAACUGCAUGUGGGGGGGUCGAGGAAGUUGUGUCAUAACUGAGAUGAAUCAGGAAGUGCCUUCUCAUUGCUGUGCUGACUCUGCAGCUGCCACCUGCUACCUGCUUUGGUUUGGGUUAUGAUGUUCUGCUGAUCCCCACCCAAACACCUGUGCUCCUGACCGACACAUGGUAGCAGUCAGAGUCCGGCAGGAUGGGCUCCAGACUGAAACAAAACCCGGAGCGAAGCUUCAUCUGGUUCUUUGAGGCUUUAUGUCCUGUGACCAGAGACGCAGGUGAGCGCUUUGUGUCUUUGUUCCGGGCAGCUCAGUUAAGUGACUUUCUCCAGGUUCUUGUCAGGUUUGACUCCAUUAUAAUGAUUUGAAUUACGAGAUAUCGAGGUCAUGCUUUACUAAGAGCAUAAAGCAUCUUCAAGUCAACCAAUCCAAUUCUGCAGUUACGUUAUGUUACUAAUGCUCACAAAAAAUAACAAAAAAA
Molecule: long non-coding RNA, 1602 nt
Organism: Oryzias melastigma (Indian medaka)
Lineage: Eukaryota; Metazoa; Chordata; Actinopteri; Beloniformes; Adrianichthyidae
Exons: 2
Source: RefSeq, a predicted model, not a curated record